AGAUGGCUGGUGCCGAACGGGAAUCGGAACGACAGGUGCUGCAUGGCUGUCGUCAGCUCGUGUCGUGAGAUGUUCGGUUAAGUCCGCUAACGAGCGCAACCCUCGCUGUGUGCUACAAGUGUCACACGGAACUGCCGGUCAUAAACCGGAGGAAGGUGGGAUGACGUCAAGUCAGCAUGGCCUUUAUAUCCUGGGCUACACACACGCUACAAUGGGAAGGGACAAUAGGUUGCGAAGCCGCGAGGUGGAGCCAAUCCAGCAAAACUUCCCUCAGUUCAGAUUGCAGGCUGCAACUCGCCUGCAUGAAGUUGGAGUUGCUAGUAAACGCAGGUCAGCAAUACUGCGGUGAAUACGUUCCCGGGUCUU
This 366-nucleotide ribosomal RNA is filed under the name uncultured Anaerolineaceae bacterium. RNAcentral describes it as "bacterial SSU rRNA". It matches the Rfam family "Bacterial small subunit ribosomal RNA", at positions 1004 to 1382 of the family's 1533-position model. The record is from RNAcentral. Lineage: Bacteria; Bacillati; Chloroflexota; Anaerolineae; Anaerolineales; Anaerolineaceae.